Molecule: transfer RNA, 68 nt
Filed under: Ostrinia nubilalis (European corn borer)
Lineage: Eukaryota; Metazoa; Arthropoda; Insecta; Lepidoptera; Crambidae
Also listed under: 1 other name
Description: tRNA-Pro
Source: RNAcentral
UUCAAAGAGUAGUUUAAUAAAAAUAAUAAUUUUGGAGAUUAUUGAUAAAGAUUUUCUUUUUCUUUGAA